UUGCGGCAUUAUCCAAAAGCGGAGGAAAAGAAACCAACAGGGAUUGCCCUAGUAACGGCGAGUGAACAGGCAAGAGCUCAGAUUUGAAAGGCACUUUUGUGCCGUUGUAUUCUGAAGUUAGGGUCCUGAGAAACGAUGCUUAAGUCUUCUGGAAAGGAGCGCCAUGGAGGGUGAUAGCCCCGUCUAGCAUUGACCUCAUAUAGGAUCUUAACAUGGAGUCGAGUUGUUUGGGAAUGCAGCUCAAAUGGGUGGUAUGCUCCAUCUAAAGCUAAAUAUCUGCGAGAGACCGAUAGUAAACAAGUACUGUGAGGGAAAGAUGAAAAGAACUUUGAAAAGAGAGUGAAAAAGUACGUGAAAUUGUUGAAAUGGAAGGGUAGGCCGCUAACCAUGUAGAGCCGUGUUUGGGGGGAAGAUAAAUGCUGUAGAAUGUAGCUCCUCGGAGUAUUAUAGAUGCAGUUCAUAUUCCCACCCGAGCGCGAGGAUCUCAGUAUAUCUAAAAACACUU
This 505-nucleotide ribosomal RNA is filed under the name Starmerella bacillaris. RNAcentral describes it as "eukaryotic LSU rRNA". It matches the Rfam family "Eukaryotic large subunit ribosomal RNA", at positions 34 to 554 of the family's 3401-position model. Lineage: Eukaryota; Fungi; Ascomycota; Dipodascomycetes; Dipodascales; Trichomonascaceae. The record is from RNAcentral.